AGUUUGAUUAUGGCUCGAGGACGAACGCUGGCGGCGCGCCUAACACAUGCAAGUCGAACGGACUUAGAGAGCUUGCUCUUAAGUUAGUGGCGGACGGGUGAGUAACACGUGAGCAACCUGCCUUUCAGAGGGGGACAACAGUUGGAAACGACUGCUAAUACCGCAUAAGACCACGGGAUGGCAUCAUUCUGCGGUCAAAGAUUUAUCGCUGAAAGAUGGGCUCGCGUCCGAUUAGAUAGUUGGUGAGGUAACGGCCCACCAAGUCGACGAUCGGUAGCCGGACUGAGAGGUUGAACGGCCACAUUGGGACUGAGACACGGCCCAGACUCCUACGGGAGGCAGCAGGUGGGGGAUAUUGGACAAGUGGGGGGCAACCCUGAUCCAGCGACGCCGCGUGAGGGAAGAAGGUUUUCGGAUUGUAAACCUCUGUUGACAGGGAAGAAAAUGACGGUACCUGUUUAGAAAGCCACGGCUAACUACGUGCCAGCCGCCGC
RNAcentral lists this ribosomal RNA (494 nucleotides) under uncultured bacterium. RNAcentral's name for it is "bacterial SSU rRNA". It matches the Rfam family "Bacterial small subunit ribosomal RNA", at positions 10 to 518 of the family's 1533-position model. The record is from RNAcentral.